Molecule: unclassified non-coding RNA, 253 nt
Filed under: Hevea brasiliensis (rubber tree)
Lineage: Eukaryota; Viridiplantae; Streptophyta; Magnoliopsida; Malpighiales; Euphorbiaceae
Source: RNAcentral
AAUGGAAGGCGUUCCAGGAUGAGUGAGAAUAUAUGCGUAUCCCUGGAUCACUUUAUCGGAAGGGAACGGCCACAAUCUUUGCGUCGAACCAGUGUCGUGGUUAUCGAUGAAAGUUACGGCACUUUCCGGUUUGAUUCCGAUCAAUCCCGGCGGCUUCCCGUUAGAAUCUCUCAACCUCCAUAGCUCUCCUUGAACGGCAGCUUGAAGAAUCCCUUUGGUUGUGAAAUCAAACGCUGUGACCGUAUCUCCCCCA